GGUUGGAAGUUAUUUUCUUUUAGGGCUUGAAAUACUUCACUCCAGGCUCUCCUUGAUUUGAGGGUUUGUGUUGAGAAAUCUGCCAUGAUCCUGAUGGGCUUUCCUUUGUAGGUGAUUUGUUUCUUUUCUCUCACUGCCUGUAAAAUUUUAUUCUUCUGUUGGGUUUCUGGGAUCUUGACUAUUAUAUGCCUAGGUGUAGAUUUUUUUCAUCAUGGCUGGGUGUAGUUCUGUAUGCCUCACUUAUCUUUGUGUCCAAUUCUCAACCUCUGUCUGGGAAGUUUUCUACUCUUACUUCUGUGAACAGUUUUUUAUGUCAAUUGUACUUUCUCCUGUUUUUUCAUGGACUCCUAUCAGUCUUAUGUUAUUCUUUGCAUCAUCUAGCAGCUGUUGAAUUGAUUUCUCAUGGUCCCUUGCUAUCUUUAAGAAAUCUCUGUUUUCAUGGUCCUUAACUGUGAUCCUGUCUUCUAUAUCUGAUAUUCUGUCUUCAGAUUGUCUCAGUCUGCUCUGCAUGCUUUCAAUGGAGUUUUUAAUCUCCUGAAUAUCUGUUUGAAUUGGUUUCAUGGAUUCCAUUUCUUUCUUAUGUUGGGCCAUCAUGGUUUCCAUUUCUUUCUUAUGCUGGGCAUUCAUGGCUUCCAGCAUGUUUCUGAUCUCAUCUGUUUUCUUAUCUGUUUCUGCUCUAGAGCUUCUAAUCAUGUCUUUCAUUCUGCUCACCAUGUCUGUAUUUAUUUGAGAGAUUAUUUCUGCUUUGAAUUUCUCUAGAACCUCAUGUAUCUGCUUUGUUACUUCCUGUGCUGUCAGUUCAGGGUGUCCAAGUGGUUGCUUGUUAGACUUUUCCUCUUCAUUUCCCCCAGAAUUUCCUUUUUGUUGAGUGGAAGCCUGUGUUUGUGCCUUGCUUAAGUGUCUUCUCAUUUUUGAUUUUGGUACUGUCCUUGGUUUAAUUCCUGGGUUGAUAUUUCAAAAUUGCUUAAUGUAGGUAUCUGUAUUGCUUGUGUUUAGAACCCUCGUGGAAUGACUGCUUUUCAGAGGUGUCUUCUAGAUAUAGCUUGUGUUUGGCUAUUUUAUUUUCCUUAUACCAGGUAGGAAAAUGGCUUUGAGGCUAUUUUAUUUUCCUUAUACCAGUAAGGAAAACUAAUUAGAUCAAUCACAACAUGUUAGUCCAAAAGACAUAGUCAGCAAUACCAUGGCAUCAAGCACAGCUUAGAAAAUGACAAUUUGUGGUAGUUAUUAAUCUAUCAAUUUUAACUCUGUGAGUUAAAUUAAAAUUGAGGACUAACCUAACAUAAGUUUAUAAUGAAUAAGCUCUUCACUAUAGCAUCUUUCCCCUUUGGGUGGGGAGUUAAAAGGAGUUGGGGAGGGAGGGACAGGUAGAAAGAACAGGUAAGAUUAGUGGUGAGGCCCGAAGACACAGAAAGAUCACACAAACUCUAAGAAGUUGUUAAAGGCAAGAGAAAAUGGCAGAAUGAAACAACAAAGAUGUGAACAGAAUCACCUAACAGCCACGGGGAGGCUGGAUACCAAAUUUACUUUCCUUUAAACCUAAUGAAAAUCAAGGGAAGGAAAAAGAGAAGAACAAAACAAUAAGGGAGAAAUCCAAAUUCAGUGCAGAAAGGAACAAAUAGGGAGAUGAGGAGUAAUGUGGGACAGCAAGAGAAUGAGUGUGAGAGAGAGGGGAAAAAAGAUAAAAGGAAGAAAAGAAAGAAAAGUAAAACUUUGAAGACUAGAGAGAAAGUAAAAAUUAAGAAUUGAAAAUAGGAGAAAAAAUUUUUUUUUUCUUUUUUGCAAAUAGCACUAGAAAUUAUGGGCCUGCUUCAGGAUAUGUCUCUCCUCUCACAGUAGGCAACAUAGGAAUCCAUGUGCAUAUACGAGUCAAUGAGUCUCAGCAAGCCCGCAGCAGACCAAGUACUGUGGUCUGAUGGCACAUGCCUUUAUUGUAAGAUUCUCUUUACUUUUCCACUGAGCUUUAGUUUUCAUCGAAGAGCCUGAGAAGCCCUCUUUCUGUUACUAACUUCUGCUCUAUCUUGUGGCGCUCAGGACAAGGGUCUUUAUAAUCUCCUGUGCCUCUGUAGUGUGGGACCAGGUAGCAGAAAAUUGAGAAGGCCAGAG
RNAcentral lists this long non-coding RNA (2103 nucleotides) under Heterocephalus glaber (naked mole-rat). Its description in RNAcentral is "lncRNA (ENSHGLG00000045651.1)". Lineage: Eukaryota; Metazoa; Chordata; Mammalia; Rodentia; Bathyergidae. The record is from RNAcentral.